This 71-nucleotide transfer RNA is filed under the name Ailuropoda melanoleuca (giant panda). It matches the Rfam family "tRNA". From Rfam's summary of the family: Transfer RNA (tRNA) molecules are approximately 80 nucleotides in length. Their secondary structure includes four short double-helical elements and three loops (D, anti-codon, and T loops). The record is from Rfam by way of RNAcentral. Lineage: Eukaryota; Metazoa; Chordata; Mammalia; Carnivora; Ursidae.
ACCUGACUGGCUCAGUUGGUAGGGCAUGAAACUUGAUCUUAGGGUCAUGAGUUCAAGCCCCAUGUUGGGCA